Molecule: non-coding RNA, 812 nt
Filed under: Anoplotermes parvus
Lineage: Eukaryota; Metazoa; Arthropoda; Insecta; Blattodea; Termitidae
Source: RNAcentral
GUUAAGUUUUAUUCUUGCUUCUUCGUUCAGUUUUUGUUUGUUUUAUAUGUAAGCUUUUGCGUGGGUUGCUCCUUUCCUCUAAAUGGGGCUGGACUAUUUUUUGUUUAAUUCUCAUUAGUUGUUAUUGGAUGGUCAAGUAUCCUUGUAUUUAGCAAUUCAUUUUAGUUUCGGUUAAAUUUUGUGCCAGCAGCCGCGGUUAUACCUUGGAGGCGCUUGAAUGUGUUCGGUGUUGUAGUUAUUAUGUUUAUUUUUAUUUGGCUUUAUUUUAUUUAUUUAUUAGGUGAAAUUUUUAUUAGUAUUUUAUGUCAUUUAAUUGUUUGGAGGCUAUGAAAUUCCUUUUAUAGACUAGGAUUAGAUACCCUAUUAUUUUGGGAUGUUAAUUUUUAGUGCCUGAGUAGUAUUAGUUAUGUUCUUGAAACUUAAAGAAUUUGGCGGUAUCUUAUUCCAUCCAGAGGAAUCUGUCUCGUUAUCGAUAGUCCACGCUGGACCUUACUUAGUUGCUUUGGUUUGUAUACCGCCGUAUAUUGAUUAUCUUUUUAGGGUUUAUUUAAUUUUCUUGUUUCUUUAUUUUGAUUUAUUUCAGGUCAAGGUGCAGCUUGUUUCUAAGUGGAAUGAUGGAUUACAUUGUUAUUUGUUUAUUGGAUUGUCGGUUUUAAUAUUGAUAUGAAAUUGGAUUUGGUUGUAAUGUUUUGUAGAUUGUCUUCAUGAUAAUUGGUUCUGGGAUAUGUACACAUCGCCCGUCGCUCUCGUUUAUUUGUUAAUGAGAUAAGUCGUAACAAAGUGGUUGUACCGGAAGGUGCAGCUGGAUUGAU